Molecule: long non-coding RNA, 628 nt
Filed under: Salvia miltiorrhiza (redroot sage)
Lineage: Eukaryota; Viridiplantae; Streptophyta; Magnoliopsida; Lamiales; Lamiaceae
Description: long non-coding RNA (SMIL_LNC010715)
Source: RNAcentral
AUAUUUUAUAUUUAUUAAAAGUAACUAUUGUUUUAAUAAAAAGUAAUUAUGCAUAUGAAGAAAUGUAAUAUUUUAAUAUUAUUACUUUUUUCACAAAAAAUGUUAUUUUUACUCACGAAAACUUGUAAUUUUAAUAUUUGGUUAAGUAAUUAUAGUCGUAAGAAAAAAUAACCAUUAAUGUGAAUAAAGGUAAUAUUAAAAAAAGCAUAAAUAAAUGGGAAAAAUAGAAAAAUGUUUAAAAAGUGUUGAAAAUAAAAAAUUAAACAAAAAAAAGCAUAAAACAAAAAACUGAAGAAAAAUGAAAAAAUGAAAAAGACAAAAAAACUGAAAAAAGAAAAAUAAGCAAAAAAGGAACCAAAAGAAAAAGGAAAAAGAAAAAUGGAACCAAUAAAAACAGGGCAAAGGGAUUCAAACCCUUACGACUUGCAAGAAUACAUGCAGUCAUUACCAAUGCACCAGAGAAUAAUCUAACCUUUUGUAUAAAUAUUGGACCUAAUCGCAUACCAUGCAGUGACCUCACACAAGACUAGCCCAAAAACAAUUGGUGUGAGAUUUUGAAUCUCUCAUCGGGUUAUAUAAUUAUGUUGAAAUCCGCCAACAACAUAAACUAGAUUAUUUGUUGUCACAC